AUGGCCCACGCUAAUGUAGCCCUCAACUUCAACGCGUUCCUAGAGAAAACCAAGCUGAAAGACGAUGGUAGCAACUACACGGACUGGGUCCGUAACCUGAGGAUUAUCCUCAUAGCUGCCAAGAAAGCAUAUGUCCUUGAAGCACCGCUAGGUGACGCACCUGUUUUCCCAGCAACUCAAGACGUUAUGAAUGCCUGGCAGUCGCGUAGUGAUGAUUACUCCCUGGUUCAGUGCGCCAUGCUUUACAGCUUAGAACCAGGGCUCCAAAAGCGUUUUGAGCAACACGGAGCAUAUGAGAUGUUCCAAGAGCUGAAAAUGGUUUUCCAAGCUCAUGCCCGAGUCGAGAGAUAUGAAGUCUCCGACAAGUUCUAUAGUUGUAAGAUGGAGGAGAAUAGUUCUAUCAGUGAGCACAUACUC
Molecule: ribosomal RNA, 417 nt
Filed under: Triticum aestivum (bread wheat)
Lineage: Eukaryota; Viridiplantae; Streptophyta; Magnoliopsida; Poales; Poaceae
Description: partial small subunit ribosomal RNA
Source: RNAcentral